RNAcentral lists this ribosomal RNA (326 nucleotides) under uncultured eukaryote. RNAcentral's name for it is "partial 18S ribosomal RNA". It matches the Rfam family "Eukaryotic small subunit ribosomal RNA", at positions 1470 to 1796 of the family's 1831-position model. The record is from RNAcentral.
CCCUUAGAUGUUCUGGGCCGCACGCGCGCUACACUGAUGCAUUCAACGAGCCUAGCCUUGACCGAGAGGUCCGGGUAAUCUUUGAAACUGCAUCGUGAUGGGGCUAGAUUAUUGCAAUUAUUAAUCUUCAACGAGGAAUGCCUAGUAAGCGUGAUUCAUCAAAUCGCGUUGAUUACGUCCCUGCCCUUUGUACACACCGCCCGUCGCUCCUACCGAUUGAGUGUGUUGGUGAGGAGUUCGGAUUGGCUCUUAGUGGUGGUUCGCCACCACCUAGAGCUGAGAAGUGCUCCAAACCGCCCCACUUAGAGGAAGGAGAAGUCGUAACA